GGAUACAAGAGGGCAGAACUCAUUUUCUUUUAAUUACUUUUAUUCAGGUUAUAUCAUCUAGCAGAUGUUCAAGUUUCAUUUUGAAAAGUUGAAUCCGCCUGAAAUCCCAGCAUGUCAUUUUUGAUGGGACUUGCUCUCUCCGUCUUUACACAUACAUAAUGUAUUUUUGGGGGUUUUAUAUUAUUUUAUUUCUUAUUUUUUAAUCUUAGAGCUGAUAGGAGAAGUAUACACAGUGUUCCUGUUCACUGUUGGAGAACAUAAUUGGCCACCAACUCUCCGCUAGUAAAAUGGUGGAGGAGGUAAUACUGUGCAAAAAUGAGGUCAAACAAUAUGAGAGUUCUCAUUACCGAGCAAGUAGCCAGUGAAGUGUUUAACCUUCUCUCAAAGAUGAUGUACAUGUGAGGCAUGCAUGCUUUUGGAGAGGCCUAUGCAAGUUGCAGCUGGGUGGCGAGCUUCCGCUGGGACUGCAGGCUCACUUCAAGGACCAUUGGCCACUGAGUUUCUAUGUGGAUGGUGACUGAGCCACUAAUGUAAACUUGUAUCCUGAUUGUUUUAAAAACAUGUAUUAUUGGCCUGGUUCAUAGCAAUAAUGUAAGUUUCAUUAUAAAACAGCUUUUGUUGCAAACAACUUUAUAAGUCUAAAAUAUAUAUCAAACUUCUGAAUAUACAAGAGCCAUUUUCAUCCAUACCUGAAACACUCCUACAUGAAGUGAUUCAUAGCUGAUUCAGAACACAUAUAAAACUCCUGCAAAUAUAUUUAGGAAAGGAAGUAAAGGCUAUUUUAAAU
RNAcentral lists this long non-coding RNA (787 nucleotides) under Coturnix japonica (Japanese quail). RNAcentral's name for it is "lncRNA (ENSCJPG00005018417.1)". Lineage: Eukaryota; Metazoa; Chordata; Aves; Galliformes; Phasianidae. The record is from RNAcentral.